This 349-nucleotide ribosomal RNA is filed under the name uncultured bacterium. Its description in RNAcentral is "bacterial SSU rRNA". It matches the Rfam family "Bacterial small subunit ribosomal RNA", at positions 1 to 334 of the family's 1533-position model. The record is from RNAcentral.
CGAGUGCGUUCAGAGUUUGAUCCUGGCUCAGGACGAACGCUGGCGGCGUGCUUAACACAUGCAAGUCGAGCGGGGUUUAUCGGAUUAGCUUGCUAAACUGAUAAACCUAGCGGCGGACGGGUGAGUAACGCGUGAGCAAUCUGCCUCAUACAGGGGGAUAACAGGUGGAAACACCUGCUAAUACCGCAUAAGACUCCACUACCGCAUGGUAGAGAAGUCAAAGGGAUUACCGGUAUGAGAUGAGCUCGCGUCCCAUUAGCUAGUUGGUAGGGUAAAGGCCUACCAAGGCGACGAUGGGUAGCCGACCUGAGAGGGUGAUCGGCCACACUGGGACUGAGACACGGCCCAG